UGAGGAAUAUUGGUCAAUGGGCGAUAGCCUGAACCAGCCAAGUCGCGUGAGGGAAGACGGCCCUACGGGUUGUAAACCUCUUUUGCCGGGGAGCAAAGAAGCCACGAGUGACUUUUGAGAGUACCCGGAGAAAAGCAUCGGCUAACUCCGUGCCAGCAGCCGCGGUAAUACGGAGGAUGCGAGCGUUAUCCGGAUUUAUUGGGUUUAAAGGGUGCGUAGGCGGAGAGCCAAGUCAGCGGUAAAAUCGUGGGGCCCAACCCAUCCCGCCGUUGAAACUGGCUUCCUUGAGUGGAUGAGAAGUAUGCGGAAUGCGUGGUGUAGCGGUGAAAUG
This 331-nucleotide ribosomal RNA is filed under the name uncultured Barnesiella sp. RNAcentral describes it as "bacterial SSU rRNA". It matches the Rfam family "Bacterial small subunit ribosomal RNA", at positions 355 to 688 of the family's 1533-position model. The record is from RNAcentral. Lineage: Bacteria; Pseudomonadati; Bacteroidota; Bacteroidia; Bacteroidales; Barnesiellaceae.